RNAcentral lists this ribosomal RNA (515 nucleotides) under uncultured bacterium. RNAcentral's name for it is "partial 16S ribosomal RNA". It matches the Rfam family "Bacterial small subunit ribosomal RNA", at positions 28 to 523 of the family's 1533-position model. The record is from RNAcentral.
GAUGAACGCUGGCGGCGUGCCUAAUACAUGCAAGUCGAGCGAAUGGAUUAAGAGCUUGCUCUUAUGAAGUUAGCGGCGGACGGGUGAGUAACACGUGGGUAACCUGCCCAUAAGACUGGGAUAACUCCGGGAAACCGGGGCUAAUACCGGAUAACAUUUUGAACCGCAUGGUUCGGAAUUGAAAGGCGGCUUCGGCUGUCACUUAUGGAUGGACCCGCGUCGCAUUAGCCAGUUGGUGAGGUAACGGCUAACCAAGGCAACGAUGCGUAGCCGGCCUGGGAGGGUGAGCGGCGACACUGGGAAUGGGACACGGCGCGGACUGCUACGGGGGGCAGCAGUAGGGAAUCUUCCGCGAUGGACGAAAGUCGGACGGAGCAACGCCGCGUGAGUGAUGAAGGCUUUCGGGUCGUAAAACUCUGUUGUUAGGGAAGAACAAGUGCUAGUUGAAUAAGCUGGCACCUUGACGGUACCUAACCAGAAAGCCACGGCUAACUACGUGCCAGCCGCCGCGGUAA